GACCCUGUAAGGACACGUUUGCCGCCACAUACAGGAUUAUUUCUGAGCCGGUGAGAAGGACGUAGAAGCGAUUCACACCGACAGCUUCGUUUACUACCAAAGUUACGCUGAUGGCAGAACGGCAUGGCAAGGUGAAUGCUACCAUCCUUAUUAUCCAUGCAGAAUUAUAAGCGAACCAACUGUCCACAUGAUUUAGAAGAUCAAGUGUCCAUACCUGAGCACCGAGGGCUGCUUUUCAAGACUUUACAGAAGUAAAAACAUCUCCUCGUGCUGUACAUCAGCCGUGCCCGCAAAGCACAAACAUGAAGCUCUGGAGCUGAGGAUUCUCCUCUCCCUUUUCCUUCCCACGUAACACGUAUUUAUGCAAGCAGCACCGUUGCAAAAGGAACACGAGCAGGCUGUUGUCCUUCUUUCUUAUCCAACAGCAGCAGCAGCAAGGAUGGGGAAUGUCUGCAAAGGCUGGUUUAACCACCUACCAACGGCUACUUAGAACGGGCACCGCAAUGACCGGAGCAGGGUUCCCAGUUUACACCCUAGCACAGGCAGGCAGGCGUAUUUCCACAUUUCACUGCCAUGUUUGCGUCUCGUUUGCCAGACACACUGAAGUGCUCCUUAAAAUACACUGGAGAAAUUCAGCCUAAAUGGAUCACUUGCGCAAGUUCACCAACCCAGUAUGCUUGUGGAUUAAUGAAGUCAAAUUAAUUGAUUUAAAGACAACGCAAGGGAUUUUGAGAGAAUGUUUAUCCAACGUCUAAGAUGUCACUUUAAUCCUCCUCACAGUUAAUUCUUCAAACAUAGCAAGCCAGUAAAAUUUGUGAUGCAGGUCUUACACAGAAAACAUCUCCAAAGGCGUGCUAAUCACUGAACUAUUUUGCAAAUUGCUCCUAAUCUACAGUUGUUUGCCUCUGCGCUCUUCCUGCAGAGACAAUGAAAGCCUACAGGAGACAAAAUCACACAGCUACCCGUAAGGGAGCGCCCAGUCCCAGUGAAAAGGAGCUGGAGGAGAAUGGGAUGGAAGCUGAGGACUCCACGACAAGCACAGUCUACAUGUUUCUGCUGAGGGGAUG
Long non-coding RNA from Egretta garzetta (little egret), 1067 nucleotides. RefSeq lists it as uncharacterized. Lineage: Eukaryota; Metazoa; Chordata; Aves; Pelecaniformes; Ardeidae. The record is from RefSeq and is a predicted model, not a curated record. The transcript is spliced from 3 exons.